Molecule: small RNA, 68 nt
Filed under: Phycicoccus elongatus Lp2
Lineage: Bacteria; Bacillati; Actinomycetota; Actinomycetes; Micrococcales; Intrasporangiaceae
Description: Tetrasphaera elongata Lp2 ASdes TB sRNA
Rfam family: ASdes TB sRNA
Source: Rfam by way of RNAcentral
AGGGCCACCGGGUCCACCAUCCGCUUGACCAGCAUGUAGUCCCGCAUGGCGAUCCCGUGCCGUCCCUC